ACGUUGAAGUUAAUUGACAGUGAUCUAAUUUCUAACUCAGAAAUGAGUGCAGCGCAGAGGUGGGCUAGGCCCUUGGAUGGAUUGAAAGGCUGAAGCGGCACUAACAGAUGUUAACUAAAAUGUUGCCCAAGUGUUUGAUCUGACUUUUUUCCACUUUUCUGAUCAAUGGUUGGACAGCUUUGGAUGCAUCACUCUUGAGCUUGGAGGAGGUGAUCCGUGAAUAUUAACUAGCUUUCUUCUUCCAGCAAGGGGAAAUGCCAGCUGUUGAAGAACUGGAAUCUGGGGUGAAGUCAGAUUGUUGGUGUAAUACUGUCUGUAAUUUCUUGGCAG
Oxyura jamaicensis (ruddy duck) is the source of this 330-nucleotide long non-coding RNA. RefSeq lists it as uncharacterized. Lineage: Eukaryota; Metazoa; Chordata; Aves; Anseriformes; Anatidae. The record is from RefSeq and is a predicted model, not a curated record. The transcript has 3 exons.